Long non-coding RNA from Carassius gibelio (silver crucian carp), 999 nucleotides. RefSeq lists it as uncharacterized. The record is from RefSeq and is a predicted model, not a curated record. The transcript is spliced from 3 exons. NCBI's taxonomy places the organism in Eukaryota, Metazoa, Chordata, Actinopteri, Cypriniformes, Cyprinidae.
CAUCUCCUCUUCCCCACUGUGGGGCCUGUCACUCAACCCUUACUCGCUCAAUUCAUCUCUGUCAGGACACUGCUGACAACGCUGUUUGAUGACCUCUGUUGGCUCCUCAGGUGUCACAUCACAAAGCCCCAAUGGUCUGUAUGCAGUAUCAUUGUUCUCAAUGAGAAUCAUCAACUCAAUGGAGACCCGCUAAUGCCAUGCUCUCGUGCAGAUGUAAGGGUGAACACAAGGCUGUUUUCCGUGCAUUUCACAUUGAGGGUUUGUUUUAAAUACUAUGAAAUGGUAUAGUUUGAGUGAUUACACAUCAUGUGUUUAGCAGUAAAGGUCAAAAGCUAUUUGUCAUUAAGAGCUCUGCUUAAUAGAUGGUUUUGAAAAGGCUGUUUGGCACAUUCAAAAAGGUAGCAAACAUUAUCAAGGACACUGUGAUCUAGUAGAGCUUUCUGUGGUCUAUGCCCAUCUAAGGUAAAGCGUGAAGCCGGUAUUAUACGAUUACUGUUGCCAUGAGGAUGUGGGCAGAGUGGUGCAUCUUUAGUAGAGCUCCGUACAGGACAAUCACGAGGGGAGAGAGAGAGGUGCAAGGAGGCAGCCACUGAAGCAGAACAACAUCUGCACACAGUACGCAGGCCUUCUGCAUUAACACAAGGCUCCUGCCGUGCAGCGCAUCGCGGCCUAGCAGGCUGUGACCUCCUACAGGCUCAAGAGGAGCUCUUCCUCUUAAAAGCCAGCUGUGCCCUUCUCUCUGCCAGCCAAACACUCCACAGUCCAGCUGUUCAACUGAGCCCGACAGAGGAUGCCUGGCUAGCUGUUUAAUUCCUACAGUGCUGGUCUAAAGUCUGCUAUAGCAUGACGGAACGGGCUGAUGACGUAUCAUGUCUGCACAAAUGGUGCACAGAGAAAUGAUAGAAUAAUGAAUGGGAACUCCUACACGUAAUGCUCCAAUCAAACAGACUUUGAGCUGAAGAAGACACACUGAUCCAGAGAAAAGCACACAUGCUCUGG